UACGUAGGGGGGCGAGCGUUGUCCGGAUUUAUUGGGCGUAAAGAGCUCGUAGGCGGUUUGGCAAGUCGGGUGUGAAAACUCCGGGCUCAACUCGGAGACGCCACUCGAUACUGCUAUGACUCGAGUCCGGUAGGGGAGUGCGGAAUUCCUGGUGUAGCGGUGAAAUGCGCAGAUAUCAGGAGGAACACCGGUGGCGAAGGCAGUGGUCUGGGCCGAUACUGACGCUGAGGAGCGAAAGCGUGGGGAGCGAACAGG
RNAcentral lists this ribosomal RNA (255 nucleotides) under uncultured bacterium. Its description in RNAcentral is "partial 16S ribosomal RNA". It matches the Rfam family "Bacterial small subunit ribosomal RNA", at positions 524 to 776 of the family's 1533-position model. The record is from RNAcentral.